ACGAACGCUGGCGGCGUGCCUAACACAUGCAAGUCGAGCGGAGACAUGCGACGGAUACGAAGUUUUCGGAUGGAGUUGAAGAUGUAUGUUUUAGCGGCGGACGGGUGAGUAACGCGUGAACAAUCUGUCCUUCACAGGGGGAUAACACAGCGAAAGUUGUACUAAUACCGCAUGAGACCACAGUGCCGCAUGGUACAGGGGUCAAAGGAGCAAUCCGGUGAAGGGUGAGUUCGCGUCCGAUUAGAUAGUUGGUGAGGUAACGGCCCACCAAGUCGACGAUCGGUAGCCGACCUGAGAGGGUGAUCGGCCACAUUGGGACUGAGACACGGCCCAAACUCCUACGGGAGGCAGCAGUGGGGAAUAUUGGGCAAUGGGGGAAACCCUGACCCAGCAACGCCGCGUGAGGGAAGAAGGUUUUCGGAUCGUAAACCUCUGUCCUAGGUGAAGAGAAAGAGACGGUAGCCUAGGAGGAAGCCCCGGCUAACUACGUGCCAGCAGCCGCGGGUAAUACGUANGGGGGGCGAGCGUUGGUCCGGAAUGGAUUGGGCGUACAGG
Molecule: ribosomal RNA, 555 nt
Filed under: uncultured bacterium
Lineage: Bacteria
Description: bacterial SSU rRNA
Rfam family: Bacterial small subunit ribosomal RNA
Source: RNAcentral